Long non-coding RNA from Gorilla gorilla gorilla (western lowland gorilla), 413 nucleotides. RefSeq lists it as uncharacterized. The transcript has 3 exons. Lineage: Eukaryota; Metazoa; Chordata; Mammalia; Primates; Hominidae. The record is from RefSeq and is a predicted model, not a curated record.
GCUGACCAUUUGACUACGCAGGGCCCUGCGUGGCCUGACUUGGAAAGAUGAGCUGGAUAAAGCAGAUUCCUAUGAGUCUUGCUCUGUCACCCAGGCUGGAAUGCAGAAGUGCUAUCUCAGCUCACUGCAACCUCUGCCUCCUGGGUUCAAGCAAUUCUCCCGCCUCAACCUCCUGAGUAGCUGGGAUUACAGAUUCAAGGUGCAGGGGCAGUCAAGGAAUAGACUCCAUCUCUCAAUGCAGGAAGAGCUUAUGCACACAGAGAGGGAAGGGGAUGAUGGACAGGAACCAUCUUGGAGAUGAACCACCACAUAGCCAUCGGCUCUUUUCUUCAAAAACCUGGACUCUGCCAGAGAACAUUGUCUGACUGGAACUGUAUUCUGCUUGCCUGUGGCAGAAUUCAGGAGAGUUAACA